GGUAAAUGGCCCAGUGAGUUCAGGAUGGUGCCCAAGAAUCCUGGAGGGACCAACCAAUGAUCCUAAAGGAGAAUGGCAUCUUCCCAGCCAUAGUAACUGUUUAUGAGGACAUCUGCAGUGAUUCUUCUCAUCUAUACACAAGUGUUUCUUUGCAACUGUGACUGGGCUACCUCUCGCAUUAAGAAGUCAAAUUCCUUCUCCAAAUCCUUGAAUCUGGGCUGUCCUUGUGAUUUGCUUUACCAACAAAAUGCAGCAAAAGUGACAUUGUGGGACUUGUGAGUGUUGCAUUGGAGACACUUUCGAAGCUUCUGUUCUUUUCCUAUUGACACGCUGCCAUUAUCAUGUGAAAAAGCCCCAGGCAGUGUCCUUGAGGUUGAGAGACCAUGUGGAGACAGAGGCCCAGCCAAAGCCAUUACCAACUGCCAGCUUUUGAAUUAGGCCAGCUUGGACCAUGCAUCCCUAAUGGUUUCCAGUUGACAGCAUCUGCAAGGAAUGACCAUCAGCAGAAUGAGUGAGAUCAGCAGAAAAGUCACCCAGUUGAAGCCAGCUCAAAUUUCUGACACACAAAAUUAUCAGCAGACAAAAUGGUUGUCGUUUUAAGCUAUAUUUUCUUGUGCAGCAAUAGGUCAUAAAGAAACUAGCUAGACUACAAAGAUGUCUCUUUCAAGCUUUAUGUCAUCUUGCUUUGACCUUGAAGGUUCUGAAUACUUCUGCAAGAGGAAUUUUGAAUGGUGCCAGAACGCAUUUAUGCUAAGCUUUCACUCAUUUUUCAAAUUAC
Phyllostomus discolor (pale spear-nosed bat) is the source of this 778-nucleotide long non-coding RNA. RefSeq lists it as uncharacterized. The record is from RefSeq and is a predicted model, not a curated record. The transcript is spliced from 2 exons. NCBI's taxonomy places the organism in Eukaryota, Metazoa, Chordata, Mammalia, Chiroptera, Phyllostomidae.